UUCAACUUGCACUUAUUCCUGAUAAAGCUUUGUCUAAACUAUUUCUGAAAACAACCAGCGAUAGUCCAUGGGUUCCUUCACUGUCUGCUCCAGAGCUGUCGUGACCAUUAGACAUAUGCUCUUGAAUGCCUUUGAAAAUUUGAUUCCAGUGGCACACAGAAUCCAAAGCAUCUCCUCUACCAUGCUGCCCGCUGUAUAAGCUGAUGUGCAGCAUGAAUUGGUUGUCACUACGUUCCACUGUUGUGUCCUGCUGGUGUUCACUUUUACAAGUGGCAGAAAUGUUGAUAGUUUAUCCUGGAAAGAAAAUGACAUUGAACAAUAUUUUGAAAAGAAAAGGAAGAUGGGUUUGCAGGAGGUACAGUGAUCAUCCACUUUUUCUUCUGACUGUGAUCUCUAAAAGGACAUUUGCUGGUGCUCUACCCAUGGGUGGAUUCUCUCCUCUAGAUGCCCAACAGAAUCUUUGCUUUUGGCUUUGUACUUGCUCCCCAGAGAAAUAAAGGAUUACAUGCAGCUGC
Cyanistes caeruleus (blue tit) is the source of this 515-nucleotide long non-coding RNA. RefSeq lists it as uncharacterized. Lineage: Eukaryota; Metazoa; Chordata; Aves; Passeriformes; Paridae. The record is from RefSeq and is a predicted model, not a curated record.